CCCUUAGAUGUUCUGGGCCGCACGCGCGCUACACUGUUCGACGCAGCGAGUCUUAACCUUGACCGAAAGGUUUGGGUAAUCUUCAGCAAAGUCGAACGUGAUGGGGAUCGAUCAUUGCAAUUAUUGAUCGUGAACGAGGAAUUCCUAGUAAGUGCAAGUCAUCGGCUUGCGCUGAUUACGUCCCUGCCCUUUGUACACACCGCCCGUCGCUACUACCGAUUGAAUGGUUUAGUGAGAUCUCUGGAUUGACGCUGGCUAGGGGGCGACCCUUGGCCAGGCUGUCGAGAAACUGCUCAAACUUGAUCAUUUAGAGGAAGUAAAAGUCGUAACA
This 331-nucleotide ribosomal RNA is filed under the name uncultured eukaryote. RNAcentral describes it as "partial 18S ribosomal RNA". It matches the Rfam family "Eukaryotic small subunit ribosomal RNA", at positions 1470 to 1796 of the family's 1831-position model. The record is from RNAcentral.